GUCUUUUUGUUAAUAAUUUAAAGUCGAAUCUGCCCACUGAUUAAAAAUUAAAGGGCUGCAGUAUAUUGACUGUACAAAGGUAGCAUAAUAAUUAGUCUUUUAAUUGGAGACUUGUAUGAAAGAUUUAAUGAGGUAUAAACUGUCUCUUUUUUAUAAUUUGAAUUUAAUUUUUUAGUAAAAAAGCUAAAAUUUAUUUAAAAGACGAGAAGACCCUAUAGAGUUUUAUAAUUAAUUUAAUUAUAAAUUUAUAUUUAAUUUUAAAGUUAAUUAAUUUAAUUAUUUUGUUGGGGUGAUAGAAAAAUUAAAAUAACUUUUUUUUAAAAAUAAACAUUAAUUAAUGAUUAAAUGAUCCAUUAUUUAUGAUUAUAAGAAAAAAUUACCUUAGGGAUAACAGCGUAAUUUUUUUUUUUAGUUCUUAUAAGAAAAAAAGUUUGCGACCUCGAUGUUGGAUUAAGAUAAAAUUUAAAUGCAGAAGUUUAAAAUUUUGAUCUGUUCGAUCAUUAAAAUCUUACA
RNAcentral lists this ribosomal RNA (513 nucleotides) under Borbo ratek. RNAcentral's name for it is "partial 16S ribosomal RNA". The stretch from base 387 to 513 matches the Rfam family "Bacterial large subunit ribosomal RNA", at positions 2473 to 2600 of the family's 2925-position model. The record is from RNAcentral. Lineage: Eukaryota; Metazoa; Arthropoda; Insecta; Lepidoptera; Hesperiidae.